GCCGGGGUGGCGAAAUGGCAGACGCAGCGCACUCAAAAUGCGCCGCCCGUGAGGGCAUGCGGGUUCGAAUCCCGCUCCCGGCACCG
Molecule: transfer RNA, 86 nt
Filed under: uncultured Thermomicrobiales bacterium
Lineage: Bacteria; Pseudomonadati; Thermomicrobiota; Thermomicrobia; Thermomicrobiales
Description: tRNA-Leu-CAA
Rfam family: tRNA
About the family: Transfer RNA (tRNA) molecules are approximately 80 nucleotides in length.
Source: RNAcentral